RNAcentral lists this ribosomal RNA (526 nucleotides) under uncultured bacterium. Its description in RNAcentral is "bacterial SSU rRNA". It matches the Rfam family "Bacterial small subunit ribosomal RNA", at positions 984 to 1509 of the family's 1533-position model. The record is from RNAcentral.
ACAUCCAGAGAAUUUGGCAGAGAUGCCUUAGUGCCUUCGGGAACUCUGAGACAGGUGCUGCAUGGCUGUCGUCAGCUCGUGUUGUGAAAUGUUGGGUUAAGUCCCGCAACGAGCGCAACCCUUAUCCUUUGUUGCCAGCACGUAAUGGUGGGAACUCAAAGGAGACUGCCGGUGAUAAACCGGAGGAAGGUGGGGAUGACGUCAAGUCAUCAUGGCCCUUACGAGUAGGGCUACACACGUGCUACAAUGGCGCAUACAAAGAGAAGCGACCUCGCGAGAGCAAGCGGACCUCAUAAAGUGCGUCGUAGUCCGGAUUGGAGUCUGCAACUCGACUCCAUGAAGUCGGAAUCGCUAGUAAUCGUAAAUCAGAAUGUUACGGUGAAUACGUUCCCGGGCCUUGUACACACCGCCCGUCACACCAUGGGAGUGGGUUGCAAAAGAAGUAGAUAGCUUAACCUUCGGGAGGGCGUUUACCACUUUGUGAUUCAUGACUGGGGUGAAGUCGUAACAAGGUAGGCGUAGCGAG